RNAcentral lists this RNase P RNA (354 nucleotides) under uncultured Paraprevotella sp. Its description in RNAcentral is "Bacterial RNase P class A". It matches the Rfam family "Bacterial RNase P class A". Rfam says of the family: Ribonuclease P (RNase P) is a ubiquitous endoribonuclease, found in archaea, bacteria and eukarya as well as chloroplasts and mitochondria. Its best characterised activity is the generation of mature 5'-ends of tRNAs by cleaving the 5'-leader elements of precursor-tRNAs. Lineage: Bacteria; Pseudomonadati; Bacteroidota; Bacteroidia; Bacteroidales; Prevotellaceae. The record is from RNAcentral.
GCAGGCCGGCUUGCCGCUGCCGGCUUCGGCCGGGGGAGGAAAGUCCGGGCAACACAGGGCGUUCCGCUUCCUAACGGGAAGUAAUCCGCGAGUGUUAGAGCAUGCAGAAGAAAACAACCGCCCCCCGCAAGGGAGGUAAGGGUGAGAAGGCGGGGUAAGAGCCCACCGGGCGGAUGGCGACAUCCGUGCCGUGCAUUCCGGAAGUUGAAAGUCCGCGUAUACCGGCGACACAAGAGAGGGCUGCCCGCCCGAGCCGGAGGGUAGGACGAUGGAGCCUUGCGGCGACGCAAGGCCUGGAUAAAUGGCAGGCGCCCGCCACGUGCGGGAACAGAACCCGGCUUACAGGCUUGCUGC